ACCUCUAGACACGGUACCGGCCCUCCUGGUGCAACAGCCUCUUGAUGUCUGAUGAGGAGGUUUGUCUGAGCAGCCCCCAGUAGUACCUGAAUCACCACCUGCCACAUGAAUGGGGCCAGAAGGAAAAUUCAACAUCGGAAUUCGAUUCCACUUUCUCAAGUUAACUGGAAAAUUCCAUGGAAGAAAAAUAAAAGGAAAGAGUGAGUCAACCAAUUCUGAGAAAGUUAAUCUCUGUUUUCAUUUUUUUUAAAGGUAUAUAUUCUGGCUGUAGAAAAUUAAGAAAAAUUGUUCUUUGGAAUUAUUCCAAAUUUAAAUUCUUAAAAAAUUACAUUAGAGUUUUAUUGGAUUUGUUUUACAUUAGGGUAAAUUUAGAAGACGAUUUUAAAGAUAUCUUGUCUUUGUUGAUCCCGGGACACAAUAGAGCUCCACAUUGACUAGCUUCUUCUUUCAUGUAUUAAUUAUUUUCUUCAUACAGACCCUCUUCCACCUUCUAUGAAGGUAGUCCAUAGGUAUUUUGUGGAGCUUUUUUGUGUGUGUGGUUAGAAUGAAGAGAAUGUUUUUCAUUCUGUCUUCUAACUGGCAAUAUAUAGAAGUUCUUAAUUCAUAGGUUGCAAUUUUGUACUUUUAUAUUAACAAUGAAUCUUUAUGUAUAAUAGAAAAUAUGAUGAGAAAUGAAGAAAAUAAAAGUCAUUUACAAUCCAGCCAAAUCACUUGUGGAUUUUGAGUUAUGCCAUUCUAUACUUGUAUUUAUACAAAAAUGAGACUACAUACUAUAUAUUGCAUUCUAACCCAGUUUUUCUCUUGACAAUUUAUUAGCCACAUAAGCAAGUCAUUGGUUGUGCUGCACCUAACACUGCACCUCUCCUGAACCAAGAAGGGGCGUUGGCCUCUGGCAGAGGCUUCAGGGGCCUUUGCUUCCCUCUGGUUUUUGGCACCCCUCGAGGACACUCUAGGACAAGGUGAAAUAAUCAGGAUGACAGAGUGCCUGUGCCUCUGCCCGUGACAAGGUGAAAUAAUCAGGACGACAGAGUGCCUGUGCCUGUGACAAGGUGAAAUAAUCAGGACGACAGGGUGCCUGUGCCUGUGACAAGGUGAAAUAAUCAGGACGACAGGGUGCCUGUGCCUCUGUCCGUGACAAGGUGAAAUAAUCAGGACGACAGGGUGCCUGUGCCUCUGCCCGUGACAAGGUGAAAUAAUCAGGACGACAGGGUGCCUGUGCCUCUGCCUGUGCCCGUGGCAGGGUGUUCUUCAGGCUUCCAUCACGUCUGCUGUUGGCUGGGUGUGGCAAAGAGGUGACUGUAUUGGGACAAUUUUCUUCUUUCUCUAGAUAACUAACAGUGUUUAUCAGGGAUGAGAGUUGGGUUAAUGAAAUCUUUUUUUGAUUGAGACAAUCCUGUGAUUUUUCUCCAUAGACCUGCUAGUAUGAUGCUAGAAGAAAACACUGUCUCACAAUGUACCAUAAAAUUACCAUAAAUUUUUAUAUUGUAUCAUAAAAGUACCUCAUAGUUCCACAUCACAACCAACUCGUUCAUGGAGUGAUACUCUUUUAACACCCUAAGGAUUCAACUUGUUAAUAGUAUUUUUAGUAAUUUUGCAUCUAUACCCACAAAUAAAAUCGGGCUAUAAUUUUUGUGUUAUAUUAGGUUCUUGCAUAAAAAUUGCACUAUUCUAGAAAUCAUUGCAAAACCCCUGUCUUCUCUGUGACUGGGGAUACUUUAUACUGUAGGGGAAUUUUCUGUGCUUCAAAAUUUUAAUAGAACUCACUAGUAAAGCAAUAUAGAGAAGAUUUACUGGAAUUAAAUAAUUGUUUAUAAAGAUUAGAAAGAUAAUUUUAAUUGGGGAAGUAAAAUAUCUCCUUUUAACGAAUGCAAACAACACAAAAGUGGGUGAAGUGGAAACUGCGAGUCCCAAAUUCACCCUACAAAGGCAGCUUCCAUAUUUUAAACCCCAUUGAGAAGGAAAGAUUCUGCUAAUUCUCUUUUUAUUAUUUGCAGUUUUAAUUUUGUACCUACUAAAAUACUUUUUGGCACUUACUUUAAUUCUGUGUAUAAUGUGCAUUUGAGUUACUAGUGUUCUUUGACUUUGACCCAAGAGACUUCCUUUAGUAUUUCUUAUGACAGGCUUGUGAAUUCUCUCGGUGUUGUUUAUCCAAGAAUGUCUUAAUUUCUCUUUCUUUUUGACAUUUGAUCUUAGCCAAAAGGCUGACAUAUUUUAAAUUUUAAUUAAUAAAUUAAUGGGGGAGGGUACCAGAAAACCUGCUAGACAAAUUCUAAAGAGCUGUAAUACUUCUCUCUUUUUGGAAGAAUGUUUUCUGGAUAUAGAAUUCUUGGUUAGCAGUGUUUUUCUUCAGUGCCCUGACUGUGUCAUCUCACUGCCUGCUGGUCCCAUGGCUUCUGGUCAACAAGUGCUGUUAUUUUAUCAAGGGCUGAUUUACCUGACGACUCAUUUGGUUUCGGCGGAACAGGUUCCUGCUAUUUUAUCCAGGGCUGAUUUACCUGAUGACUCAUUUCGGUUUCGGGUGAACAGGCGCUGCUAUUUUAUCAAGGUCUGAUUUACCUGACAACUCAUUUUGGUUUUGGGUGAACAGGUUCCUGCUGUUUUAUCAAGGGCUGAUUUACCUGACGACUCAUUUCAGUUUUGGGUGAACAGGUUCCUGCUAUUUUAUCGAGGGCUGAUUUACCUGACGACUCAUCUCACUCUUGCUGCUUCCAGGACUCCCAGUUUCCCUUUGAUUGUUUGACUACAGUGUGUGCAGGUAUGGCUCUCCUUUCAUUUAUUCUAUUUUGAGAAUAAAUGAAUAAAUGACAAUAAAUGAAUAUUCAUUUAUUAAGCUUUUGGAUAUGUAGAUGGAUCUUUUUCAUCAAAUUUGGGGAAUUUACACCCAUUAUUUCUUCAAAUAGUAUUUUUGUCCCCUUAUUUUCUCUCUUUCUGUGAUUCCCAUUGUACCUGUUAGAUACCCUUGAUGAUGUCCCAAAGGUCUCUGAGGCUCCAUUCAUUUUUCAACACUUUAGCUGGUGUUCACAUUGCAGUUCUGGAGGAACAGAUUUUCAGAGCUUCUUAUCCUGCCAUUCUAGAAGUGCUUCUCUUGUCUAUCCUAUUUAUCAGGAAAAUGAGAGCUUUCCAAGAAACUUCCAGAAAAUCUGAGAUUUUUUAAAUUCUUGGUUAGAAUGUCACCACUCCUCUGUGCAAGAGGGGCUGGAAAGUGGAAAGACCUUUUAAGUGAAUGUGUCAAAAUAUUAAGGGAAUUAGGAAUGGGAUUGAUUACUAAUCAAUAGUGUGUACCAUACUAUGGUUGUAAGUAUUCUGUGUAUUCUUCCAAACUUCAAAAACAAUUUAUAUAAACAUACACACACAUACUACAUUUUGUAUUUCACAAUUUGUCUAUUUUGAGUUGAUGAACAAUUCAAAUGGUUUCCCCAACUAUUUAUGUUACAAAAGGUGCCACAAUGGUGCCCUGUAGAUGUAUCUUUGUUCAGACAUGCACCUAUCUCUGUAAGUCAGUUUUGUGGGAGUGGGACGGUUAGGUCACUGGAUAUGUGGAUUUACAAUGUUAAUAGGUAUAUAAAACUGCUUCCUCAAAAGGUUGAAACACUUAAAACCCCCCACAGUAGGAUGGGAGAGCCAAUUUCUACACAUCUGCUCCAACACUAGAUACUGCCAGUCACCGAUAACUGAAAAUUCAUAUGUCAUUACUUUAAUUUGCAUUUCUCUGGUCAAUAAAGAAGUAGAGCAUCUUUUCAUCUACUGAUUAUUUAUUUGAAUUUCUUUUUUAAUGAAACAAUUCCUUCCCUUUUCAUAUUGGGAUUUUACAUAUUUCCUCUCAGAUUUUAAGGACUCUUUGUCUAUCAAAUAAAUAGUAGUUGUUUUCAUGUUUGAUGGUUUGGAAGUUCCUCCCAGUCUCUUGUUUGAUUUCCCAUGUAGAAAAUUAGAUUUUUAUACAGUUAAACUUUUCAGACUUUUCCUUUAUGGCCUUUGGAAUUUAGACAAUGUUUUCUAAAAGACCUUCCCCAUCAAUUAUUUUUAAUUUAAAAGUCACCAUUAUGGCCGAGCACGGUGGCUCACGCCUGUAAUCCCAGCACUUUGGGAUGCCAAGGCGGGCGGAUCAUGAGGUCAGGAGAUCGAGACUAUCCUGGCUAACACGGUGAAACCCCCUCUCUACUAAAAGUACAAAAAAGUGGCGGGCGCCUGUAGUCCCAGCUACUCGGGAGGCUGAGGCAGGAGAAUGGCGUGAACCCGGGAGGCAGAGCUUGCAGUGAGCCAAGAUCUCACCACUGCAGUACAGCCUGGGUGACAGAGCGAGACUCCCGUCUCAAAAAAAAAAAAAAGUCGCCUUUAGAAAAGAUCUAUGUGGUCUUGUCAUUUCUAGGUAAGGUGCCUUGAUUUCUCUGACUAGAAUCGUGUUUUAUUACAUUAUCUUUUAUUUUAAAAAUCUACUCAGAUAUGUUAAUAUGUAUUAAAAUUGGCAAUUAAUCUUCUAAUUGUAUCUUUUACUGUUAUAUAAACAUCUUUUUGACUCCCCUGAUAACUGUUGCUACAUGUGUUUGCUUUUCGUAGUAUUUCCCUGGUCUAUCUCUGCUCAUCAUAAUAUUUAAAGUAUCUUUAUGUUAUUUUUGUUCUUGAUAGGUGUCCUGUAAACAUUCUAUAGCUUUGACAUAAACGGAAAGUUUUUCCUUUUUAUAGAAUUAAACGGUCAUAUUUAUCACGAUUACUAAAUUUGGCUGUUACGAUGUGAAUGUAUGUGUGUGUGUAUGCGUGUGUAUGUGUGUGCAUGUGUGUGUGUGCAUGUGUGUAUGUAUGUAUAUGUAUGUGUGUAUGUGUGUUUCCUUUCCCUAUGUUCGGAUUGAUCAUUUUUUGUUUGUUCUUUUUGCUUGAUGAUUUGGACUCCUGUUGUUAUUCUACCGGUGGUUACCCUUGAAUCUGAAAACACAUAUAGACCUAUAGUUUUUUUAUUCACUUGAAUAAUUUGUCAAUAUCUUCUGAUCUAAACAAGAAGGGACCUUAGCAUACUGUUCUUCUCUACUUCUCUUGCAAUAUACACUCUACCCCAAAUCUCAGGAAUUUUAGUUUUAGAAUAUUAGUUUUAAAUUUGUUCAAAUAUACUUCUGUUUUAUAAAUUAAUUUUUAUCUAAGGCAUUCACAUUUUCAGCCACCUAUCGAGUGAUUAUUUGCCCUCAAAUAUAUGCUGUACCAGUCCCUUCGCCUGUUUCUUCUAUAUCAUAUCUUGUCUUCCAUGGAUUCCUGCUCCUAGACACACAACAUCUUCCACAUAAAAUCAGGACCCAAUUUUAUGUGGAGAGGGUGGGCUGCACGAGGAGGUACACUUGGAAUGCCCACCUCCCUGGGCUACUUGACCUCCCUCCAUAGCCAACUUCUCUUCAGUGGCAGAUCACGUGGCAAAAACAUGUUGUCAGACUGACAGCAAACUUGCCUCUCCUCCCUUCACACUCACAAGUAGAAAGCAUAAAACAUCUCAGAAGUGCUCUAGGAGGAUAAUCAGUAGCCAUAAACCCUUGGACCACAGAGCUACGAGGCAGAAGAAUAUUACUCUUCUGGGCACCCAAAAGGCUCUGGAUAAGAAGGGAGGAGAGUACGGAUGGGGCUGAAAACAUGCUCAGAAUGGCUGAUUUGAGGGCUUUCCCCUGGAAACUUCCUCUUGUUUUGUAUUGUCAAAAGGUUGAGAACCUUAAAACAGACAUUUGUGUGGGCAACUAUCUGAUGUUCGAUGCCAUACUUCACUGGAAAUAACGACCUUGACAAAAGCCAAACAUCUGUUCCAAGUAAAACAAAAGCAGAGAACACACAACCUCGCCGCGUCCAAAGGGCAAGCCACGCUGGUGCAGGAACGAAGCCUCCCGCCUCAGAGGGCGCGGGGCUCUGUGCUGUGUCCUGUCUCCUGUCAGCCGGCUCUGCCCGCACGCUGAGCUGCGGUUAUGGCUCCGGGAGCAAACAACCCGGAAGUGGCAGCGCGGCUGGGCGGAGGGCGCCCUCCUGGUUCCGCUGGGGCUGCGGCUCCCUGAGGCCCCGAGGGGACCCCGCUCACCCGGGCCCCGCCCACCAGAGGGCGCCAGAGAGAAGCCACCGGGGAGGCGCCUGCGCUGUUUCCCUGAGCCUCCUGGUACCCCGUUUGAGACACAGGAAAAAACGCGUGAAAGGCUUCUGUAAAUUAUCAAGUGUGGUGACGUAUGAACCCCAGGCAGCCCACUCCCAACCCCAAACAACAUCUCAUUCAAGCUGCGUCUACCAGAAGCUCGCACAUCCAACUGCCUCCCUCCAGAGGUAGCCGCUGUCCCGAAUUUUGCUUUGAAUGUUCCCUGUGAUUUUCUUUUUUAUACUGUGUAAUUGGAUUUUUAAAGGGAUUUCAUAACAUUUAUAUUCCCGGAGGCUUGAAUUUUUUUGCUCAUCGUUUUUCGUUACCACGUAGUGAGGUGUUGCUGCAGUUCCUCGACUUUGUGACUCCACAGAUACGAAUAUGUGGCACUUUGUUUAACCACUGUCCUGUCCGAUUAUUCCCAAGGUUUUGCUACUGCAGACUAGGAACAUUUUUGAACAUGAUUCCUGGAGCACUGUGUAAGAAUAUCUCUAGGCCAAGUGUAUACCUGGGCAACCUAAUAUACAUGGAACCAGAUUGUUUUCCAAGUAUUUGAACCAUUUACCUGCGUCCAGUGGUGUCUAAGUGUUCCUGUUAUUCCCAACAAUGGGAGUUCCCCUGCACAAGCUCUCUUACCUACCACCAUGUGAGAUGUGACUUUGCUCCUCCAUCGCCUUCCACCAUGACCAUGAGGCUUCCGCAGCCAUGUGAAACUGAUUUUGAAUAUAUCAUCCAGCUCCUUCCUGGCCUAUAAAGUUUCUGGAAAAAGAAAAUCCAUGGAUAUCUUACACGAGAGACAUGGAAUCAUGAUUGGAGCGAUGUCCACCAGAUGUCAAAAUAGAGUUCUGGAUUCUUGUUUUGUAUCAACUUUAAUGAGAUAUAAUUUCCAUAUAAUAAAAUGUACAUAUUUGUGUAUAAUUUGAUAAGUUCUCAAAAGCUUAUACACCCAUGUAAACACCUCCACAUCAUGAUACAGAACGUUUCAAUUACCCUAACAAGCUCUUCUCUGCCCUUUUGAUACAAAUCCUUCAUCUCAGCCCCAAGCAAUCACUAUUCUCUCACUUUACAUUAGUUCUCUUAUUGUGCAGUUUUAUAUAAAUGGAAUUAUACAAUAUGAACUUAUUUUGUAUCUAUCUUCUUUUGCUAAUCUAAACACUUUUCAGAUUCAUCCAUGUUGGUGCAUGGAUGAAUGCAUGCUAAGUCCUAUUCCAUUAUAUAGAUGUAUCACAUUCAUAUAAUUAUACUCCAUUAUAUAGAUUGCUAAAUCCUAUUCCAUUAUAUAGAUAUAUCACAAUUGUUUUGUCCAUCAUCUAUUGAUGGAUAUUUGUCUUAAUUUUAGCUUUAGAUUAAUUUGGAUAAAGUUGGGGUAAGCAUAAAUACAUAGGCCUUUGUGUUGAUAUAUGUUUUUCAAGCUCUUAUAUAAAUCCCUAGGAGUAUACGUUCAACUUUCUAAAAAAAGCCAUUUUUUCCCCAAAGUAGUUUUGCCAUUUUACAUUUCCACCAGAAAUUUACGGUUGUUGCAGUUGUUCUACAUUGUUUCCAACACUUGAAAUUGUCAGUUUCUUUAAUGUUAGUGGGUCUCUAAUGGUAUCCCAUUUUGCUUAUAAUUUCUAGUUCCUUGAUGACUAAUGACGUUGAACAUCUUUUCACAUGCUGAUUGGCUAUGCAUAUAAGUUCUUUUAUGUAGGGUCUGUUUGUAUCAGUUAACCAUUUUAAAAAACAAUUAGGUUGAUUGUCUCCCUAUUAUUGAAUUUUUAGAAUUAUUUAUAUAAUAUGGAAAUACAACUUUUGUCUAAUAUAUAUGUUAUGAAUAUUUUCUCCAGGUUUGUGGUUUGCCUUUUCAUUUUCUUAUCUAUGUCUUUCAAAAAGCAGAGGUUUCUAAUUUUUAUAAAGCCUACUUUGUAAAUUAUUUUCUUUGGUGGUUUGUGCUUUUUGUGUGUGUACUACCUACAAAAUUUUUGUAUACCCAAAAGUUGCAUAUUUUUUCUAGUAGCUUUUAGUUUAGCUUUACUGUUUUGGUAUAUGAUCUGUUUAAUGUUCAUAUAUGGUUUGAGGGAGGGAUUAUGGUUCAUUCUUUUCUAUAUACAUAACCAGUUAUUUCUUUUCUAUAUAUAAGUAACCAGUUGUUUCAACACCAUUUUUGAAAAGAUUAUCUUUUGGCUGGGCAUGGAGGCUCAUGCCUGUAAACCCAGCACUUUGGGAGGCCGAGG
Molecule: long non-coding RNA, 8298 nt
Organism: Homo sapiens (human)
Lineage: Eukaryota; Metazoa; Chordata; Mammalia; Primates; Hominidae
Exons: 5
Source: RefSeq, a predicted model, not a curated record